GCUGACGCUUCCGGGGCGUGUAAUACAUGCAUGUCGAGCGGACUUGUUGGAGCUUGCUUCUCUGACGUUAGCGGCGGACGGGUGAGUAACAUGUGGACGACCUGCCUGUUAGACUGGGAUAUCUUCGGGAAACCGGGGCUAAUACCGGGUAGGAUCUUCUUCUUCGUGUGAGAUGAUUGAAAGAUGGGUUCGGCUAUCACUUACAGAUGGGCCCGCGCGGCCUUAGCUAGUUGGUGAGGUAACGGCUCCCAAGGCACCGAUGCAUAGCCGACCUGAGAGGGUGAUCGGCCCCACUGGGACUGAGACACGGCCCAGACUCCUAAGGGGGGGAGCGGUGGGGAAUCUUCCGCAAUGGACGAAAGUCUGACGGAGCAACGCCGCGUGAGUGAUGAAGGUUUUCGGGUCGUAAAACUCUGUUGUUAGAGAAGAACAAGUACAAGAGAAACUGCUUGUACAUUGACGGUACCUAACAAGAAAGCCCGGGUAAUACGUGCCAGCGGCGCGGUAAUACGUAGGUGGCAAGCGUAUCGGAAUAUUGGGCGUAAAGCGCGCGCAGGCGGUUUCUUAAGUCUGAUGUGUAAAACCAGGCUAACCGUGGAG
Molecule: ribosomal RNA, 600 nt
Filed under: Priestia megaterium
Lineage: Bacteria; Bacillati; Bacillota; Bacilli; Caryophanales; Bacillaceae
Description: bacterial SSU rRNA
Rfam family: Bacterial small subunit ribosomal RNA
Source: RNAcentral